AAAGAGAAGAUUGACCUCGCGUCGAUCGAGGGAGGAUGGGCGGCGUUUAUUUGCGUCGCUCCGCACUCCCGGGGCGUCUCGUUGUCAUUGCGACAUGAGGCGCACCUAGAGCGUACACGUUGGGACCCGAAAGAUGGUGAACUAUGCCUGGUCAGGAUGAAGUCAGGGGAAA
This 172-nucleotide ribosomal RNA is filed under the name Tiphodytes sp. TN2004-5. RNAcentral's name for it is "partial 28S ribosomal RNA". It matches the Rfam family "Eukaryotic large subunit ribosomal RNA", at positions 722 to 861 of the family's 3401-position model. The record is from RNAcentral. Lineage: Eukaryota; Metazoa; Arthropoda; Insecta; Hymenoptera; Scelionidae.